UUCAAUGUAAAUGCAUUUCAUUUACUCAAUUCUGUAAAGAGUAAGUAAUAAAGACACAUUAUUAAUUCAGCAGUUAUCGUGAGUCUUAGAAAAUCAUUUCUACCAACUAUAAACCAACCUAUGUCUACUGUACAAACUAAGACUUUUGUGUAUGCUAGUUUAAUGACCUAAAUUUGGGGUGCCUGGGUGGCUCAGUGGUUGAGUGGCCGACUUCGGCUCAGGUCAUGAUCUCAUGAUUCACCAAUUUGAACCCCUCAUCAGGUUAUGUACAUACUGACAUCUCAGAGCCUGGAGCCUGUUUCAUAUUCUGUGUCUCCCUCUGUCUCUCUGACACCCCCCUGCUCAUGCUCGUGUGUUCUCUCUCUCUCUCUCUCUCUCUCUCUCUCAAAAAUAAAUAAAAACAUUAAAAAAUUUGAAAAAAAUAAAUGACCUAAAAUUAAGCCAGGAUAUAUGGAAACUCUGUCACUUUCUCUCAGUUUUGCCGUGAACCUUAACCUGCUCUCACAAAGUAAAGCCUUAAUUAAAAAAUUAAGCCCAGAUUAUUAAUAAAUCAACACUUUACUACAGCAGAUAAGUUUUAAUUUUAUGUGAUACUUGAGUAAAUAGCUAAAAUGAUAAAACUAUCUUUCCCAACCAUUGAAAUUGAAAGAUUAUCUAACCUCUUCCUAACAGUGACAUUUACAUUACCAUUUUGUGCUACUUUCCAACAGAGCUGUAGUUUCAUUGACCUAUUCUCUGUGUGGCUUAUGAAGUUGGAGGAUCCAUAUCUGUACCAUUUCCUUUAUUAUUAGAAAACAAAAUUCCUUUUCUCAUAAAUAGGGUUGGAUGAUCAAAUAAGGACCUCCUAAAGGACGGAAUUCACACAAUUAAGUAGAAUUAUUCUUAAAUAUAUUGGAUGACUUAUUUCUAGAUGGUCUAAAAUCCCAACUGACCCAAUAUGUAUGUCCUCCAUACCAAUUCUGGGAAGUGGAUUCAACUCAUCCCUGCUACUUUAUAUUUUAUUUACUCUUCCUGGGAUUCUUUGGGACUUAAAAGAAAUUUGAAGGAGGUGUGGGAGGCAAAGAGUGAGGAUGGUCAGAAAGAAUAGAAAUAAACUAAAAUGGGCUUUGUCAUCAAGUAAAUUGUGGUUUUGUUUUAUUUAUCACAAAAUUGGCCUAAUUCUUUAUUUUCUCCAAAAACAAACUAAAAAAUAUGCUUAAUAUCUUCAGAAUAACAGUGUAAAUUAAAUUGUUUAUGUGACAGUGAACAACACUGGGGAGGUAAAAGAUAAUAGUAGGUACAAUUAAAUACCCUUUUCAAAUGCUUCAGUUAAGUGCAGUUUGAUGGAAAAUCUUCUAAGCUCGUCUCUCUAAUCUACAGAAUAUGAAAGAGUUGUUAAAUGUCAGUGACAGGUGUUAGGUUUAUGGAAUUGCAAAUCUAAUAAAAAAUUUUUCAGUUGGGAAUCUAUAAUUUUAAGGUUAUAAUUGUCUAUAGAUAUAUGGUCUCAGUGAAUGAAAGGCUAAUUAUUUUUAGGAAAAAAAACGCCAGAUAAAAAUUAACAAACUAGUGAAAAGAAAAAUAAGUAGGUAGGGACGCAUGGGUGGCUCAGUCGGUUGAGUCUGGAUUCUUGAUUUCACCUCAGGUCAUGAUCUCACCGUUCCUGAGAUAAAGCCCUGUGUUGGGCUCUGCCCUGGCCGCUCAGAGCCUGCUCGUGAUUCUCUCUCUCCUCUCUGCCCCUCCCUGGCUUGCACACUCACUUGCUCUCUCUCUCUCUCUCUCUGUCUCUCAAAAUAAAUAAACAUUUAAAAAAACUAAGUAGGUAACACUCUUUCCACUACAAUGUCUCAUAAUGCUGAGAUUAAAAAAAAUUAUUUAAGAGUCUAAUGAAAUUAUAAACUUCGUGUUUGAAAAUAUAUAUCACACCAAGAUGCAUAGUAGAUAUUUAAGAAUCUACUAUAAACAUAUAUCAUCAACUUGAUUUACGCUGUUUUAAAAACUCAUGACAUUCACAAUUCAAAGUAUUCUUAUUCUUGCUAAGGAAAGAGAAUUAGGCAAAACGUGAGUUGUACGUUAUCAGAAAUUUGUAUAUAAAAAGGUGAAUAUACUACGCCUUGGUUAUGGUAAUGAGAACAACUACCAGUUUCGGACAUUUACUAUGGACUUGGCACAGUGAUAUCUCGUAUCUUUUCAACAGCCCUGUGAAACGGAUGUUCAUUUUGCCGAGGAGAAAAGUGAAGCUUGGCAAAUUUAGUACAUUAUCCAAAGUGAAACAGAUAGUAAAUGGUGGAGUAAGAAUUUUAACUCCGUGUAUUCAUUCAAAAGGCUGUGUUCUUCACCAUUACAUUAUACUGUCUAAAGUCCCAACUGACCUAACAUAUAUGUCACAGUGAUUAAAUAUACAGAUGACUAUUAGGCAUUGUUCAAAAACCAUGAUAGAGUCCUUAAAAAAAUAAGACUGGCGAUAUACCGUACUGGGUGCCAGCACUUUCUGGACUUCACUUUUGACCUAUCAGGCUUAGUUAAAUUUUCACAGCUGUUUAAUUUAGUGAUGAUGGUCUACACUUAGUGGGAAUACCAUAAGGGUAAUGUUAACUGUACUUGCAAUUAUUCCCCACCAUACUACCUACGAGUUAGUACAUGAUUAUCAUUUCCAGCUUCUGAAGGAAACAAACUUUAAAAGGAAUAUAUCAUCCUGCCCUCCUUCAUUAUAAGUACUAUUUUUAAAACCAUAAGUUAUAUGACUGAUAGGAAGAUUCUACUUCUGCCUUGAAGAAACAGAUAUUCUCCAGUUUCCAACUGCAACAAGCAAUUCUAAUUUAAAAGGUAAACACAGGAUACUAUGUUCAGAAAUGGGCCUCCCUGAAUUUGAUUCUCUGAUACAUUCAACUAUGUUGAGAGGUCACUUGUUUCUGGCUAUUGUCAUUUUGGCAGUGGGAGGAGUUGGGGGAGCAUGGUCAGCAGAGUCAAAGAAUGUGCAACUCGUCUUUCAAAUGUGUGUUAAAGCAACACAGUUAACGCUCAUUUCCAAAAAAAAGAGGAAAAGAAGGCAAUCAAACUGAGAAAUUGUCGAUUGACUUAACCAGGCCUCCGUGACUCAAAGAAAGCCACCAGAGACAACUUCUUUCAUUCCUACUCAAUAUGCUAGAAUCUGCUAUGAAAGACUUAGGUUGCACAUCACCUCUGGGGAAUUGUAAGAUCUUUAAAAAACUUUCCAGUUUUUGCAGAAUUUACUUAAUUUUUCUCCACUAAGUAUUUAAGUGAAAACCAUAAGCAAAAAGAAUACAUUGACAAGUUAUUGUUCUGAAGGUCAGAAACCACCUUUUAUUACUUUUUAAACAAUGGUGUAUUACAUUUCAAAGUUCAAAGAAUCAGGAUUAUACUAAAAGUCAUAUCAGGUCAAGAUGACGGUAGGUUUCUUUCUAAAUUACAAGUCCAUAUCUUAUACCAACCUCUUGCCAGUCUCUAUAAUGUAUUGUUUUAUGUUACUGCCAUACAGUGAUAGUUUUUGUAAACUAAGACCUACUUCACUUACUUUUAAAGACAAAUGUUUGCUCAGUGUCUACAAAUGUGUGCUAACUGUAGUCCUUCAGACAUUCAUUAGUGUUCAGGAUUUGCACUUAAGGAGGACAAUGGCAUUGUAAACGAAAAUGACCAGUAGCCAAAGGGAACAUAUAAUUGUUUGUAAUUAAACAAAAGUGUUGCUGAGUUAAUCAAAUUCACAUCUUAAUAUACUUCAAAGCAUUGCUGUCUUGUCAAAAUGAAGACUUCAGUUUUCUGUCUCUUUGGAAUUUUUUUUAAUUGGUAAUGAAAACUAAGCAAAUUAUACCACUGAGAUUUUUUUUUAACCCACUGAGGUACAAUAAAUAAGCCAAGUAUGUUUUUAUCAAAGUUUUCACAGGAAUCUCCUGUUAACUUUUUCACCAGUUUCAUGAUUAACAGUUUGUACAGGCAUUAGCCUAUUUAUAGCUUUUGCUCUGCAAUGCCCUGUGCUCUUGAUCUCAUCUUUUUGAGUUACAACACAAACACUGAAACAUUACGUCCUUCCCUUGGUAACUGAAUCGUUCAUUUGAAACACCCGGGACUGGAGAGAAUUCUUUUGGGGGAAAGAGUUUUCACUGUCAUUUUUAUUUGAAUUUUUCAUUUGCUUAAAGGUGAGUCCAAAUUAAACGAAAGAACUUGAAGUGUUGACUGUCUUACUAAAAUAAAGGAACAGGCAUGAUUUCGCAGGCAAAUCCUAUUUCUGGAACCUGUGGGACAUUAUCCAGUUUCAGUGGAGUGCCUUCGUAGCUUUCCUAAACCUAAAGGACUUAUCAGCAACAUGGAGACAAUGUUGUCCUGCAUUCUUCAGUUCCAGAAGCUGGCAGAAGAAAGGCCCUAUGAGUGGUGAGCCCCUUCUUUAGCGCGCACUGGGGAGGAGGCUCCACCUGCUGCCGGCCCACCAAUACUUCCAGCUGACUGCUUUGCAGAACAGCAAAGCAUCCCAGCUAGCUUCUGUACGGGCCCACCUGAAGCACUCCUGAGAGAUUUCAUUCGAGCUACUCCAGCCUGUCCCGUGUGAAUAAGCACAGGUCCCCCACUCAGCUGGUCUCUACUCCAAGGAUCGCGUUUCAAAAUCUGUCGAAAGGAAUCAAGGAAUCAAGGUAUUUUCUUUUUCCCUGAAUCACUGGUCAGUUCUUCUCUACUCCAGUUCUUCUCUAUUAAGUGAGGACUGUGCUACCAGCCUGUGGACUCACCAUUUACAGAUCUUUUUUUUUUUUUUUCCACCGAGAUUUUGCAUGGUCAUGUAAUUGAUGCAAUUAUAAUUUCCCCUUUAAGGUCUGUCUCCACAUCCACAUUGUAAGCUCCUGUAAGCCAGUCUCUCUCGUAUAUCACCGUAUUCCGAGUGCCCAGCACAGUACCUUGAGCCCUUCAGGACACAAAACGCAUUAAUAAUCUUAGGUGGGCGAGAGAGGAGCAAAGAAACAAUACUAAUGGAUCCCUUAGUAAAAUCCAAUAGUAAAAAGACUGAGAGAGGGAAAGCUACAUGGAGAUGUACUGGAAAGAGGAGCUCCAAUGUUUUUAGGAAGAGGUCAGUGAUAGAGAAAACUCUGGCUGUGGGUGACUCAGAUCAGGCCCCUUGUCUCUUAACCAUAGAGAAUACGACUCCGAAUAUGUGAAUAUUGAGGACUGAGUAGUUGGAAGACGUUAAAACUGGUUUCGACAUUUAAAAAGAUUAGCAAAGAAGAUGAAAACUAGAAAAAUAUAUAAAACUUAAGUUGUUUCUUUUCUCUUUUCCAUCUAAAUGAGUAACCAUUAAUGCCUGAAAAGCAGCAACAAACCCGGUAUCAUGUCAUUGUAUGUUCGUUAAUUUCGAAGUGCUCUUUUUUUGUAUGCAAAACACUGUUGCCCAUGUUGCAUAAUUACCUAAUCCUACCUAGGGGGAAAAGUAAAACUAGACAGAAAAACUAAAGAGGAAGUUAAGGAUAAAUCAGAAUCCACGAUUCCCAAUUACAACUGAAAACUAUUUGAAUAUAACUCAAUAUUAUUUAUUGAUCUAUAUACUAUGGGGGCGAUUUCUCAAACUACGUACUAUUUGGUAAAAGUCUGCCAGGAGUCAAUCUGUAAGUCUGUGACAGUUCUGUUCUCUACCAGCAUCACAAAGAAAGGGUCCAGGGUGCUUAGAGUUCCCUGAAUGAAAGGCACUGUACAAGUAGAGAGUGGUGCAUGUAUUAUUAACCUUCCUGCACUUGUUUCCUCAUCUGUAAUAUGGGGUUAAUGACAUUUCUGUACCUCACAAGAAUGUUGUGCGAAUUAAUGUUUGUAAAGCCCUUUAAGAUCCGCGGAUGAAAGAUGCCAUAAAAGUCCAAAGGUGGUAAUAUUAUAGUUAUUGAAACUGGAAACACCAAUAAUGCUGGGAACUGAAUAUAUAUUUGGUUGCAAGGCACCCCGUGUAUUAUGAAUUCACAGGCACUUAUAGAACCUCACUGUUUCAAAAUUAAUGUUUUUAUACAUAUAUAUAUAUAUAUAUAUAUGAUAAAUCCCAAAGAGAUAUUACAUAUAUGUGAUAAGCCAAAUGAAUGUAAUUUGUUCAUAAGUGGCAAAAACACAGUAACGGAGUCCACGUUUCUUCCCUGUCUCUUUCUAGAAAGCACUGUAGUAGAAUACGUUGGAUCUGUACUUGAAAUUAUGUAAUGUUAGAACGGUCUGUUUAGAAGGAGGCAGUAAAUGGCAUGUUACAAAUGCUAACAUGAUCUAAUGAAAUCAUCUGUACCUCUCAAUACUGCUAUAUUUUUCUAUACACUUUGAAUCUACUUAGUUUAUAAAUAGAAAGCAAAAAACACGUAACAGAAAUCUUUUUGAAAAUGAAAAAGACAAAUUAUCAUUUGUCACCUGUUUGUCUGAACUAAUUCUAAUGUGGGCUUUAAGAAUUUUUCUAAAUGUUUAAAAAGGCAUUUUAGGGGCGCCUGGGUGGCUCAGUCAGUUAGACGUCUGACUUCGGCUCAGGUCAUGAUCUCGCGGUCCAUGAGUUCGAGCCCCGCAUCGGGCUCUGUGCUGACAGCUCAGAGCCUGGAGCCUGCUACAGAUUCUGUUUCUCCCUCUCUCUCUGACCCUCCCCCGUUCAUGCUCUGUCUCUCUCUGUCUCAAAAAUAAAUAAACAUUAAAAAAAAAUUUUUUAAAAAAUAAAAAAUAAAAAGGCAUUUUACUGAAUCACUAUAAUACGAAAAAGGAGGAGAAAGUAAGUUUUCCAAUACGGCAGCAGCAUUUUUAAAAUAUUCAAAUAUCUCAUGAAAUAUAUACAUAUAUAUAUAUCCACUCACUCACUUAACACUUCACUCAUUCUUAAUAAUUGUGUUUAUUUUUGCCA
Molecule: long non-coding RNA, 6823 nt
Organism: Acinonyx jubatus (cheetah)
Lineage: Eukaryota; Metazoa; Chordata; Mammalia; Carnivora; Felidae
Exons: 4
Source: RefSeq, a predicted model, not a curated record